Molecule: ribosomal RNA, 17 nt
Filed under: Coprosma hirtella
Lineage: Eukaryota; Viridiplantae; Streptophyta; Magnoliopsida; Gentianales; Rubiaceae
Also listed under: 2 other names
Source: RNAcentral
UGCGAUCAUACCAGCAC